Molecule: ribosomal RNA, 408 nt
Filed under: uncultured bacterium
Lineage: Bacteria
Description: bacterial SSU rRNA
Rfam family: Bacterial small subunit ribosomal RNA
Source: RNAcentral
CGAAAGCCUGAUCCAGCAAUGCCGCGUGAGUGAUGAAGGCCCUAGGGGUUGUAAAGCUCUUUUACCCCGGGGAUGAUAAUGACAGUACCGGGAGAAUAAGCCCCGGCUAACUCCGUGCCAGCAGCCGCGGUAAUACGGAGGGGGGCUAGCGUUGUUCGGAAUUACUGGGCGUAAAGCGCACGUAGGCGGCGUUUUUAAGUUCAGAGGUGAAAGCCCGGGGCUCAACCCCCGGAAUUGCCUUUGAGACUGGAAAGCUAGAACACGGGAGAGGUGAGUGGAAUUCCGAGUGUAGAGGUGAAAUUCGUAGAUAUUCGGAAGAACACCAGUGGCGAAGGCGGCUCACUGGACCGUUGUUGACGCUGAGGUGCGAAAGCGUGGGGGAGCAAACAGGAUUAGAUACCCUGGUAG